RNAcentral lists this long non-coding RNA (1193 nucleotides) under Ictidomys tridecemlineatus (thirteen-lined ground squirrel). Its description in RNAcentral is "lncRNA (ENSSTOG00000034572.1)". Lineage: Eukaryota; Metazoa; Chordata; Mammalia; Rodentia; Sciuridae. The record is from RNAcentral.
GGUGGUGGAUGACUAUCCACGUCCCUCACUUCCCGAUGAUUCAUGCUGGAUGUUUACAGCGAGACUCACAGAGGCACUCGGUGCCUCCCUCCACUGCAGGUCUUGGAAUGAGCAGAGCUGGGAGACUGCCCAAAGCGGGCACCAGGAUCCCCUGGUGUGCCAAGCCUCCCAUGAUGCUCCAGCCCUGAAGGGGUGCAGAGGGAGCUGGGGCCUGCCGGGAUGCCGAACCUGGAUGUCCAUGAGUCCGGCAAUCCUGAUCUGCCUGGAACUUUCACAACGGAGAAGGAAGAGCCAGCAACCUCUUGGGAAAAGCGCAUGGCCACCCCACCCACACCGGCUGCUGCGAACAGAGUCCCAGGAGUUCAAAUUGUAUCCAGGAAGGCUGCCAUCUCUUUCCACCAUUGAGCAGUUAUAACAAAGGUGUGUGUGGGGGGGUUUCUAACGUACUGCUCUCUUUCAGAAACUUCCCUGUUUUCCCUGAGAAGGCAGCAUCAUUGGUCCAUAUUUCCUUCCUCUUUGCACACUAAAGGUCUCGCAGUCCUGGAGCCUCCACUCCACCCUGGAGGAUGGAGGUUCACAAUGACACAUGGCGGGCAAACGCUAUGGCCCGUGAAGGAAAGGAGGAGGAAGAGAGAGAGGAGGAAAGAGAAGAGGAAGAGGAGGAGGAAGGGAAGGAGAGGGAGGAAGAGGAGAAACUUUGUGGAAAAAAAAAACCCAAAAAGUGUGCUGAGACCUGUCAUUUCUUCUUCCUAAUUAAGAGGAAUGGAUUUUAAAGCCCACCAGCCCGUGGGCCAUAGCUAACGUGGCUUGAAAGGAACGUGAUGGUCAUAUUUGAAUGCCAUCAGAAAAUGAAGGUGAUGCAAGAGUGAAUAAAGUUGAGCAUGAAUAAAGGUACAAUUUGCUACCACAGGCAAAUAUUUUGGACAAAAGAAAGAAUCCUAAUUGAAAUACAGAAAUUCAGUUCCAACUGAUUUUGGAACUGAAUUGAGAUUCGGUUUUUAAAAAUAGGAUCUGGUCACCUCUAAUUGUAAAGAUGAUGUAAAGAACAUCACAGAGUGGAAGAGAGUCCAAGAGGCUGGAGGGAAAUGCUCUGCAUUUCCACACAAGCCCUCACAGGGCUCACGGAAGUGUUCUCUGCUAUGCAUAUAAAUUCAGGGGUUGGAUAUUUUAGAAUUAAAAGUGACUCAUGCUUU